Aegilops tauschii subsp. strangulata is the source of this 2074-nucleotide non-coding RNA. The record is from RefSeq and is a predicted model, not a curated record. NCBI's taxonomy places the organism in Eukaryota, Viridiplantae, Streptophyta, Magnoliopsida, Poales, Poaceae.
CUUUCCGUAGCUCGCCGCGCCCAUCGUUAGGAGUUGUCAUGGGACGUGGAACAGAACGCUCGAGGUCGUUCCGUGCUAGCCUGAGCCGUCACGGGCUCACGGCAGUGGACGUGUGUGUGGGGUCCACCAAAUGGGGAAAUUGUGGAGUGUUCCAGGUGUGGGCGGCUGACAAGCGGUGAAACCGACCAGGGAAGGGGAGUAUGGCGUGUGCGGCGACCGCUCCUUUUGCCGGCGGCGUGGCGAUGGAAGCUGACGGCGGGCUAGAAUUCCUACUGGAUCCAGUAGACCGGUUUCCACUAAGAGAGGAGUCAGCAGAUAAUUUGGAACAUCCAGAUCCGGUGCCGUUGGCGCUACUGCCACGCCGCGAGAUCCGGGGAAGGAAGAAUGCUUCGCCAACUAGGUCUCCACAAUCCACGGGGGAGGUGAAUCACGAAGCACCUGGCUGGACCAAGGUUGAGGCUGGGGAGUACACCGCCCUGGAACAAUCCAUCCAGAAAUAUGCAGAAGAACCUAGUAAGAGUGUGGUGAAACCUGAACUUGGUCUGAGUUUUGACUUGUCGGGUGAGGCGUAUGACUUUUACAAUUUGUAUUCGUGGGUGGUUGGCUUUGGGAUACGCUAUGGUAAGAGUAGAUUGAACGAUAAGAGGACGAAGAUAAUGCAGGAGAUCCUGUCCGGCUGUGCGGGGAAGCCGGAGGUGAAGAACAGCCGGUCAUGCAGGUGCAGUGACAAGACAAGUCUGUAUGACAUGCCAUUCGGUCUUUUUGUUCGGGUGAACCACCAUUUCCAGAGUGUUAUACUGGUGGGUGUUCGCAGAAUUUCUUAGGAUGAUGGGCAUACCUGCAACAAACAAGAUCAAAAGAGAGCUAUGGAAGUUGCAAUUCAAAAGUGUAUCCACACACCGUGCACAGAUGGUGCAAAAUGGCACUUCUAAACCACGACAAAAUGGGAUGAUUCUGUGAUGAAGACUUAGUAGGUGUCUUGGGAGAUCCGGCAGAUAGAUUGGAUGCCCAUGUUGGUCCUUUGAUAAGUCAAUCCACCUCAAGCAAGCAAAUUUUGGAUGAGUGCUUAUCAUCCAAUGAGCGUUUGGUCAAAGAAUUAGCAAGCAAUAUUUGGAGAAGCCCAAAAUCCUCACAGCUGAGUCGGAGUGUCUUUGCUAACUACUAAUGCAUCAGUGCAUGUGCCAAACCAACCUUUUCACUUCCGCGGAAAAGAAGGUUAAGUACAGUCUAGGCGGUGCAGCAAAGCACGCAACCGCUUCUAGUUAGAACUAAGUGCGCAAAGCCUUACUUCAAGGGUGUGUUCUGCGCUAAGAUUACAAGCACCAAAUGCAGCGAGAGCGCUAUGCUUAUAUUUGUGAGGCACUACAUUCGUCUCUAGUUCGAUGGGUGAGAGGGAGGAGAUCUAUGAGGAGAAAAGAACUAUGAUUGGAAGUAUAUGGAUCCGAGUGCUGUGAGGCGAACAAAUCUGGCUAUUGAGCGUCAUGCGAGCAAAAUAUACACGAAGGCUAUGUUCAAGCGGUUUGGGCAAGGUACUCAUCGAAGGGACUUCAUAGAAGGUUAAUGAGAUUGAGAGGGGGAAGAAAUAUCUGACACACAACAAUGCUGCCAAACGUGAAAAAUGGUGUAGAGUGGUGUAUGAGGUCAACAUCAAGGAAGACGGGACUGAAUUUGAGUGUGAGUGUGGCGAGUUCGAGCACACAGGCAGGUUGACAAACAGUCGGGAGAAGGGCUGAGCAAACGCACGAAGAUUCUGUAGCAUCAGAUGACUGGGAAGGUCACAAAAGAACGACAUGCCCGGGGAUGCACCGAAGCAGCCAUGUAAAGCCCGGCAAGUGUAAAAACUGUGGGAUCGAGGGGCACCGCCGGAACUCAUGCACAUGACCAUUACAUGGCGUGCAGAAUUAAAUUUGUUGGGCUAUAGCUUGAUCUGGGGAUUUUUCUGGUGUGCUGUCCAUGCUUGUUCCUCCAUGUUGUAAGACUGUAAAACAUUGUGUGUUUGUUCGUUGUAUUCGGAGAGAUCGAACAAAUGGUGUCACUAUGGAGUGAGGAAUUUUAAAUAAACUGGUUAUGAAAA